Molecule: transfer RNA, 61 nt
Filed under: Shigella sonnei
Lineage: Bacteria; Pseudomonadati; Pseudomonadota; Gammaproteobacteria; Enterobacterales; Enterobacteriaceae
Description: tRNA-Met
Rfam family: tRNA
About the family: Transfer RNA (tRNA) molecules are approximately 80 nucleotides in length. Their secondary structure includes four short double-helical elements and three loops (D, anti-codon, and T loops).
Source: RNAcentral
UUAGCUCAGUUGGUCAGAGCGAGCGACUCAUAAUCGCCAGGUCGCUGGUUCAAGUCCAGCA